ACCGGCAGCUCAAGUGGUGGCCAUUAUUAUUGGGCCUAAAGCGUUCGUAGCCGGUUUGAUAAGUCUCUGGUGAAAUCCCGCAGCUUAACUGUGGGACUUGCUGGAGAUACUAUCAGACUUGAGGUCGGGAGAGGUUAGGGGUACUCCCAGGGUAGGGGUGAAAUCCUAUAAUCCUGGGGGGAACAACUGUGGCGAAGGCGCAUAACUGGUACGAGUCUGAGGGUGUGUAUCGUUAUCCGGUGGCGCGAAACA
RNAcentral lists this ribosomal RNA (252 nucleotides) under uncultured prokaryote. Its description in RNAcentral is "partial 16S rRNA". It matches the Rfam family "Archaeal small subunit ribosomal RNA", at positions 475 to 726 of the family's 1478-position model. The record is from RNAcentral.